Molecule: ribosomal RNA, 386 nt
Filed under: uncultured bacterium
Lineage: Bacteria
Description: bacterial SSU rRNA
Rfam family: Bacterial small subunit ribosomal RNA
Source: RNAcentral
AGCGAACGCUGGCGGCAGGCUUAACACAUGCAAGUCGAGGGGCAGCAGGGUGUAGCAAUACAUCGCUGGCGACCGGCAAACGGGUGCGGAACACGUACGCAACCUUCCUUCAAGCGAGGAAUAGCCCAGGGAAACUUGGAUUAAUACCUCGUAACAUUAUGAAGUGGCAUCACUUUAUAAUUAAAGCUCAGGCGCUUGAAGAUGGGCGUGCGACUGAUAGGUAGUUGGCGGAGUAACAGCCCACCAAGCCUGCGAUCAGUAACUGGUGUGAGAGCACGACCAGUCACACGGGCACUGAGACACGGGCCCGACUCCUACGGGAGGCAGCAGUAAGGAAUAUUGGACAAUGGGCNCAAGCCUGAUCCAGCCAUUCCGCGUGCAGGAUG